AGCAGCCGCGGUAAUUCCAGCUCCAAUAGCGUAUAUUAAAGUUGUUGCAGUUAAAAAGCUCGUAGUUGAAUUUCGGAGUUUGUCGGUUGGUCGGGCUUCAUUGUCCGCACUGACCUGAUGGAUUCCUACCUUCUGAAUAACCAGCAUGCUAUUAAGUUAGUGCGUUGGGGAAGCAGAGCUAUUACCUUGAAAAAAUUAGAGUGCUUAAAGCAGGCUUAUGCUUGAAUAGAUUAGCAUGGAAUAAUAAAAUAGGACGGCAUGGUUCUAUUUUGUUGGUUUCUAGGAUCACCGUAAUGAUUAAUAGGGAUAGUUGGGGGCAUUAGUAUUCAAUUGUCAGAGGUGAAAUUCUUGGAUUUAUUGAAGACUAACUUCUGCGAAAGCAUUUGCCAAGGAUGUUUUCAUUAAUCAAGAACGAAAGUUAGGGGAUCGAAGACGAUCAGAUACCGUCGUAGUCUUAACCAUAAACUAUGCCGACUAGGGAUCGGACGAUGUUAAUUUAAUGACUCG
This 507-nucleotide ribosomal RNA is filed under the name uncultured Acaulospora. RNAcentral describes it as "SSU rRNA". It matches the Rfam family "Eukaryotic small subunit ribosomal RNA", at positions 569 to 1078 of the family's 1831-position model. The record is from RNAcentral. Lineage: Eukaryota; Fungi; Glomeromycota; Glomeromycetes; Diversisporales; Acaulosporaceae.